AUCGCUUCUCGGCCUUUUGGCUAAGAUCAAGUGUAAUAGUUAUAAUUUGAGAGGUAAAGUGCAUUAGUUAAAUUCAAAUGUCAAUAAUUUGCUACAAUAUGAUAUAAAUUAUAUAUGUUUAAGUUGUCAGUCACGAUUAGCAAGUGCUGAUUGACCCUAUCUUCUAUUUUGCAUUUGUACGUGGAGGCAGCAGUAC
Small nuclear RNA from Oryctolagus cuniculus (rabbit), 196 nucleotides. Its record names the gene U2. It matches the Rfam family "U2 spliceosomal RNA". From Rfam's summary of the family: U2 is a small nuclear RNA (snRNA) component of the spliceosome (involved in pre-mRNA splicing). Complementary binding between U2 snRNA (in an area lying towards the 5' end but 3' to hairpin I) and the branchpoint sequence (BPS) of the intron results the bulging out of an unpaired adenosine, on the BPS, which initiates a nucleophilic attack at the intronic 5' splice site, thus starting the first of two transesterification reactions that mediate splicing. The record is from Ensembl. NCBI's taxonomy places the organism in Eukaryota, Metazoa, Chordata, Mammalia, Lagomorpha, Leporidae.